Molecule: ribosomal RNA, 484 nt
Filed under: uncultured bacterium
Lineage: Bacteria
Description: partial 16S ribosomal RNA
Rfam family: Bacterial small subunit ribosomal RNA
Source: RNAcentral
AUUGAACGCUGGCGGCAUGCUUUACACAUGCAAGUCGAACGGCAGCGCGGGCUUCGGCCUGGCGGCGAGUGGCGAACGGGUGAGUAAUACAUCGGAACGUGCCCAGUAGUGGGGGAUAGCUCGGCGAAAGCCGGAGUAAUACCGCAUACGAUCUGAGGGUGAAAGCGGGGGAUCUUCGGACCUCGCGCUAUUGGAGCGGCCGAUGGCAGAUUAGCUAGUUGGUGGGGUAAAGGCCUACCAAGGCGACGAUCUGUAGCUGGGCUGAGAGGACGACCAGCCACACUGGGACUGAGACACGGCCCAGACUCCUACGGGAGGCAGCAGUGGGGAAUUUUGGACAAUGGGCGAAAGCCUGAUCCAGCAAUGCCGCGUGUGUGAUGAAGGCCUUCGGGUUGUAAAGCACUUUUGGCGGGAACGAAAAGGACUGUGCCAAUACCACGGUUCGAUGACGGUACCCGCAGAAUAAGCACCGGCUAACUACGUG